CCUACGGGAGGCUGCAGUGGGGAAUAUUGGACAAUGGGCGAAAGCCUGAUCCAGCCAUGCCGCGUGUGUGAAGAAGGCCUUCGGGUUGUAAAGCACUUUCAGUGGGGAAGAAAGCCUUGGGGCUAAUACCCUCGAGGAAGGACAUCACCCACAGAAGAAGCACCGGCUAACUCCGUGCCAGCAGCCGCGGUAAUACGGAGGGUGCGAGCGUUAAUCGGAAUUACUGGGCGUAAAGCGCGCGUAGGCGGUCUGAUAAGCCGGUUGUGAAAGCCCUGGGCUCAACCUGGGAACGGCAUCCGGAACUGUCAGGCUAGAGUGCAGGAGAGGAAGGUAGAAUUCCCGGUGUAGCGGUGAAAUGCGUAGAGAUCGGGAGGAAUACCAGUGGUGAAGGCGGCCUUCUGGACUGACACUGACGCUGAGGUGCGAAAGCGUGGGUAGCAAACAGGAUUAGAUACCCGGGUAGUC
Molecule: ribosomal RNA, 465 nt
Filed under: Vreelandella stevensii
Lineage: Bacteria; Pseudomonadati; Pseudomonadota; Gammaproteobacteria; Oceanospirillales; Halomonadaceae
Description: partial 16S ribosomal RNA
Rfam family: Bacterial small subunit ribosomal RNA
Source: RNAcentral